UCCAUGGAGUGUUGCCAUACAUAUAGAUCUAUAUGUGUGGAUACCUCAGAGAUGUCAUUUUCUUCUACACUAGAUCAACGGAUUGUCCUCAAGAAAUUCUUGCGCCUGUGAGGUAUAACCAAGCUGUGGGAAUCGUUACGUUACACCAACUCCCCUUCGGCUGCGUGGAAACAUUGGUGAGAUGAAAUUUACAUGUAACGUCAUAGUGAUCUUGGGAUGAUCGUGUGCAUAAAUAUUUCUUGUUUCGUACUCCGUUCUCCUAUAAAAAGGGAUUACUAUUGUAGGUGGAGACAUGGAGAGUGGAGAUGCAAGAGUAGUAGUGGAGUCCCGUAGUUGUGGCACGUCUGAGGCCAAGUUAGAGCCGUAGGGUAGCUCUCCUUUAGCUACAAAGAAGACAACCCAAGUCUGGUGUUCAUGGAGGUUCGACGCAUUGAUUACUUCUAGGCAGGGGAGAAUAUGCUCGAAGGUGGAGUUUAUUAUAUUUGUCUCUAAUAUUAGUAUGUGUGGGGUUACGUGGACUUGGAGUUGAAAUUGGUGUGGAUACAUAGGAGUCAUGUUUGAGUCGGACAUUGUAUCCUAUGCCUCUUAUAUAUGAGAGAGCACCAAACCUUGUAACCCCAUGAUGAUUUGAUAGCAACAGGUACGCAUGGGAGCCGGCAGCAUGUGUCGGCGCCAAAUGACCAGUGUUGCAGUAUCUUUGAGAGGAGCAUAUGUAGUCAUUGCCCCGAGAAUGUAGCCGAUCUCGGUGAACCUUGUUAACAAAUAUCAUGCCCCGGUGUCGUAUGUAAUUUUGCAUGGUAUAUUUAUUCUAACAUUGUGC
This 820-nucleotide long non-coding RNA is filed under the name Triticum aestivum (bread wheat). RNAcentral's name for it is "long non-coding RNA (TAES_LNC012045)". Lineage: Eukaryota; Viridiplantae; Streptophyta; Magnoliopsida; Poales; Poaceae. The record is from RNAcentral.